GCGGGAGUAGCUCAGCGGCAGAGCACCGGGUUGUGGUCCCGGGGGUCGUGGGUUCGAACCCCAUCUCUCGCCCCA
RNAcentral lists this transfer RNA (75 nucleotides) under Rhodospirillales bacterium. RNAcentral's name for it is "tRNA-His". It matches the Rfam family "tRNA". From Rfam's summary of the family: Transfer RNA (tRNA) molecules are approximately 80 nucleotides in length. Lineage: Bacteria; Pseudomonadati; Pseudomonadota; Alphaproteobacteria; Rhodospirillales. The record is from RNAcentral.